AUUGAACGCUGGCGGCAGGCUUAACACAUGCAAGUCGAGCGGAGAGAGGUAGCUUGCUACUGAUCUUAGCGGCGGAUGGGUGAGUAAUGCUUAGGAAUCUGCCUAUUAGUGGGGGACAACAUCUCGAAAGGAAUGCUAAUACCGCAUACGUCCUACGGGAGAAAGCAGGGGAUCUUCGGACCUUGCGCUAAUAGAUGAGCCUAAGUCGGAUUAGCUAGUUGGUGGGGUAAAGGCCUACCAAGGCGACGAUCUGUAGCGGGUCUGAGAGGAUGAUCGGCCACACUGGGACUGAGACACGGCCCAGACUCCUACGGGAGGCAGCAGUGGGGAAUAUUGGACAAGGGGCGGGAGCCUGAUCCAGCCAUGCCGCGUGUGUGAAGAAGGCCUUAUGGUUGUAAAGCACUUUAAGCGAGGAGGAGGCUACUUUAGUUAAUACCUAGAGAUAGUGGACGUUACUCGCAGAAUAAGCACCGGCUAACUCUGUGCCAGCCGCCGCGGUAA
RNAcentral lists this ribosomal RNA (501 nucleotides) under uncultured bacterium. RNAcentral describes it as "partial 16S ribosomal RNA". It matches the Rfam family "Bacterial small subunit ribosomal RNA", at positions 30 to 523 of the family's 1533-position model. The record is from RNAcentral.